GGUUCAAGACCUUGUUUUCUUGCGAUGCUCUUACAAGAGAGAAAUUCAGCAAAUAUCUCAGUCUGGUAGAAUUUUUUAAAUUGACCGCCCUGAUCCAAUAAAGACGAUGCUUUGGAUGGAAGCAUGGCUCGUCUGCCGGUUAGGCAUUUGGUAGAACUGUCCAUUAGCAAGCUUUUGAUUGCUCUUUUUGUUUUUGUUGUUCCUAUAGAGAUAAGAAUGAGAGAGUGCUCCUUGGAUUUUCUGCUCAUCCAUAUGCCAACACAUUGAGCAUUAUUUUCAUUAUGCUCAAAAUAAUACAAGAAUGAUGUAUGUGACGAUUCUUUGGGAUAACGGUUCAAACAUGACAUGAAAAUCAACUUACAGGAGCAGCAAAAGAGGAGAAGUAGUAGGAUCAAUUUAAGCAGAGGUGAAAUGUGAUGAGGAACUAAAACCAUUUUCUGGCUAUAUCUGAGACCAUUAUUUUUGGAAGGAGGAUAGCAAGCUAUCUACAAGCAAGUUAUUACUUUCUAAUUUUAUUCUUUCAUACAUAUAUUACAUAAAGAACUCUCCCCCCCCAAGAACUGAGUUUGGAUACAUUCAGAUGCUUCUGGUCUCAUAAGGAGGAUAUGACGAACUCCCUUUCUUGCCAUUUUCCCCUGGUGUUUUGGAGGCAUGUUUUCCCCAACCUGAAGAUAACCUUGAUUGUUCAAGAAUAUUGGCCCUGAUGGACUAUUAUGAAUUAUUCUACAAUGAAUUACUCCUGUCCCCCUUUAAAUAGCUAUCACAAUGGUACUUAGACUUAUAUAUCAUCUCGUAGUGCUUUACAGCACUCUCUGGGUGUUGGCAUAUUGCCCCCAACAAUCUGUGUCCUCAUUUUGUUGACCUUAGAAGUCAACAAAAUUAGUGGUUAGUAUCAUAUUUUGUGGUAAUCAAUUCCUCAGGCUAAUUACAUAUUGUGUGAAUAAGUACUUUUUGUGUGUUUCCCCUAUGCCAUGAUAAUUUUAUAUAUCACAAUCAUGUUCCCUGCUUACUUGAUUUUUUUUAAAAAGAAUCCUAAAUAUUCUAAUCUUUUCUGGCAAAGCUAUAUUUGAGCCCCUGUAUCAUUUUGGCUUCUCUCUUUUGCAUAUUAUAUCAUAUAAAUUUUCAAGUGUGGUAAAUGAGAAUUAUACACAGGAUUCCAGAUACAGAUAAUCUUCAUUUACAACUGCCUUGUUGACUAUUUGCGGUUACAAUGGUGAUGAAAAAGCAAUUUACAACCAAUCCUCACCUUUAUGACCUUCAUAGGUCUGUAAAGCAAAGGAAAACUGAAGUAAGAUCAUAAGCACAGUACUGGUUUCACUUAGCAACCACUUCAUUUAAGACUAAGUUGCUGACCCAAUAGUAGCUACUAUACAAGGACAAUCUAUAGAUCUGUAUUGAAUUAUAAUGUGAAUAGAAUAGAAUAGAAUAGAAUAGAAUAGAAUAGAAUAGAAUAGAAUAGAAUAGAAUAGAAUAGACCCUGGAGGUCUUCUAGUCCAACCCCCUGCUUAGGCAGGAAACCCUGAAAUGGUUUCCUGCCUAAGCAUACCAUACCAUUUCAGACAAAUGGUUUUAUUUUCAAUCUUUUUCUAAGGGAUCUCUAAUGUGGAUUUUUUUUGUAGUUGCUUCAUAUUGAAUCAACACUUUCACUGAACUAUCAGUUACAAUCUCAGUAUCUUUUUUCUGAUGACUGACAGAAAAUUAAAUUUCAUUAUUGAAAGCUAGUGUUUUUUAAACCAAUGUGCAUUACUUUUCCUUUUUAAAUUGAACCACCUUAACUAUUUGGUUGAUCAUUUAAUCCACUUUAACCCACUUUAAAGAGAUCCAUCUGAUACAUGGGGCUCCCCUUGAAGAGCACUCG
Molecule: long non-coding RNA, 1858 nt
Organism: Pantherophis guttatus
Lineage: Eukaryota; Metazoa; Chordata; Lepidosauria; Squamata; Colubridae
Source: RefSeq, a predicted model, not a curated record